UACGGAGGGUGCAAGCGUUAUCCGGAUUCACUGGGUUUAAAGGGUGCGUAGGUGGGCAGGUAAGUCAGUGGUGAAAUCCCCGAGCUCAACUUGGGAACUGCCAUUGAUACUAUCUUUCUUGAAUACCGUGGAGGCUAGCGGAAUAUGUCAUGUAGCGGUGAAAUGCUUAGAUAUGACAUAGAACACCGAUUGCGAAGGCAGCUGGCUACACGAAUAUUGACACUGAGGCACGAAAGCGUGGGGAUCAAACAGGAUUAGAUACCCUGGUAGUCCACGCCCUAAACGAUGGAUACUCGACAUAUGCGAUACACUGUAUGUGUCUGAGCGAAAGCAUUAAGUAUCCCACCUGGGAAGUACGACCGCAAGGUUG
RNAcentral lists this ribosomal RNA (370 nucleotides) under uncultured prokaryote. Its description in RNAcentral is "bacterial SSU rRNA". It matches the Rfam family "Bacterial small subunit ribosomal RNA", at positions 524 to 896 of the family's 1533-position model. The record is from RNAcentral.